This 3799-nucleotide long non-coding RNA is filed under the name Daphnia pulex (common water flea). RNAcentral describes it as "uncharacterized LOC124194007". The record is from RNAcentral. Lineage: Eukaryota; Metazoa; Arthropoda; Branchiopoda; Diplostraca; Daphniidae.
UUACUAAUGAUGAUAUUCAUAAAAUUAUUCAAUUUUUUACCAUUUUUCGGGUUUUUCCCUUAUUCUUUUCGUAAUAUGAUAUUCGUCGUCUAUCGUAUUCUCUCGCGCGGCUGAGAGAAUAGUCGUCAGGGAAUGAGGAAAUGGGGGUGGAUUAAACUUCAUUACACAUUCGCAACUUGGAGACGGUUUGCUGAGCUUGAGGUUAUGUAGAUGUGAGCUGAGUAAGGAGUUGACUGUUAAAAGUUGUGUAAUUUAGGAUAUAGGAAGGUCUAGAUGGGCGGGAAAAUUUACGGGUUGUCCUGUGCUGGGGAAAAAAUUUAGUGGUGGUCCCUUAGAAUCGCUUAGAAUCGCUUUAACGUGGAAAACCCAUUCCUAUCAUCAGCGGCCCGCCGGCCCCAGCCGGCCCCACACCCGUUGAUUAAUCAGGCAUCUUGGCCUGAGUUUUGGACUGCUCAUCCGGUUCUUUUCCAGCAGUCGCACACAGCCGGGCUUAUUCCAUAUUGAGGAUCACCAAAGGUGCGCAGAGUAACGAGAUGGGAUUACAUCAGUUGGGAGAUCAUUUAUUGUUGCGCAAUAAGCGACGAAAGACGGGCGAAGACGGGCGAAGAGACUAAUACCCGCUAAUAACGAGCUUCUUUUUUCUCGCAAGAGAGUCUCUUAACAAUUACAAGACACAGUGGAGUGCUAGGUGUAAUAUAACAUGAACGCAACAUGAAUCGCAAUUCAAAUCAAUUGAUUCUUAAUAUUUUACGCCCUGUCUUAAACUGUUAGUACCUACAUUUAUGAUAUUUCUCACUAAGAUGUAUACGUCAUCAGGAGUUGUCUUUAAAUUAAACUUACCCCACCCACUUUGCCCGUUGUUUUAUCGAUUCUGCCAUGUAAUCCGUCUAUAAUAGUGGUAGGUGUUUUAUUUCACACCCGCUGCAGCACCCUCAGGUGUUUUGGGUGGUUUUGGGUUUCUUUCUUAUAGUUUCUUUGGUUUGUUCCCUAAUAUAGAUGUGCAAUACCCGCUAGUCGAGCAGCAGUACGUGUCAAACCUCAGUGUGGUUUUCCCUGAUUUCCUAUUCUCUGUCUCUCUGCCAGCCAGCGCAGCCAGUCUGAAUCUGAAUCAUUGUUGGUUAGACUUUUUUAAAAGUGUGCAGGUGUGUUUGCGGCUUGGCGCUUUAAAGACGUCGUUAAAGACGGUCAGAGAAAGACGAGAAAGAGAAUGUUCCUCGUGGAUGGCAUGUUCUGUGUAACAGCUGGAACUUUGUAAUUUAUCAUGAUAGGCCCUACUUACAUGCGCAUAUGUGGCUGGACUGGGCUGGGUAUUCUCAACAAUCCGUAAGUUAAGCCGAAAUCGUCUCUUGUUAUCGAAAAAUCUAAUUUCAUUUUGUGUACAGUUCCGUUUUGAAAUUGAGUUAUUAUACGAGGCUUGAUGUGUUCAAAUCUUUUUUAGUUUUACAGUCGACUCCAAUUUAAUGAAUUCUUAGUCUUAUUAGAUUCGGUGCUUGCUGUCGCUUGCUGUACAGUAUUCAAUAGUGAUUACAAUAGUGUUUAUAACAGCCUUGCUGAAAUUUCAUCUAAAUUUUACAGUGUGUACAGGCUAUUACGAAUGCUUGCCAUUAUUUAUAUCUUGUAUUUAAGUUAAUAACAUGAUACUGAUUAAAUACGGAAAGACCAUAAAUCAACGCCGUAUGAUAAAGAACAGCUUUUCUCUGGGUUCGUUGGCCAGAAUACAAAAUACUGUUUUGCAUGUAGCUGCAAGGAAAAAUGCAGUUAAUAUGUUGGAAAUGUUUGGAACAAUACGUGUGCUUGUUAACUGAUUGAUAAUUAUUAGCUGGAAUAGAGCCGUUGAAACCCUCAUGUUAAUUUGGAGCAGCGAAAAUGCGACGUUGAUUCGACCGGCAUUUUAUAAAUGGGUGUGAACAAAACCCGUGAAUUUUCCUCAAUGACAAUCAAGAGAAUUUUUCUAAGAUCUACAUUUACAGUGAUUCUACCAGCAGUGACAGUGACUACAGUUCCAACUUCACAACACUUCUUACUUCCACAACAACCUGCACCACAUCCACAACCUCUUUAACUGCGUGUCCUGCUCCUGUCUCCUGUCCCGGACGUCGUCGUCGUGCGAUCUCGAAAAGCCCAGGAUUCUUACACAACGAGAACGAAGAAAACCGAAAAACAGCAGAAUUUCCCUUUCGCCUUCAGCACCAGUCCAAAACUCUUUUCAAGAAAUGAGAAACACUUCGGUCGACCUGAUCUAAUAAAAGAGCACAGUAGCUGAAAUCCCAGCAUUAGUAAUCGAAUCAAGUCUGUUGAAACAAUCCUUCCGCCCCAAACGUCCACCUUGACCUUCGUAACGUCCGUAACGGCACAUCGACGGUAACACAGUGCUUACAGUGCUACACCAACAUUCGGCUCAAGUAGAUGUCCAGAUGCACACUAGAUGGUAGUUCAGUGCACAACCCUACUGCUAUGCAUCAGCAAGGACAGGUGUGUUGUGUCGUUUGGUCGUUUCCCCGUUUGAGAUGACAUUUGAAGUGCAGCUAAGUUGAAUUUAUUUGAAAAUCUUUUCUUCAAAUAAGGAAAAAGUAUGAUGUAUUGACUACUGAUGUAUUUAAUGCAGCCUUUUGCCAACGAAUCACGUGAAACAAUCGAUUCAUUUAAAUUUUUUGUUAGGAUAUGCAAGUUUUAAAAAUGCAAUCCAAGAUGUCUGGGGCUCUGGGCGGGAAUGGAUGAGCAGCUCCACUUUAGAGCCUAGCGCGGACCGGGGUGGCCUUGGCCUUGACGACUUCGGGUGUGUCCUGGAUCUGGGCGGGCGCUACCAAAUCGGCGAUGGGAGCGACGGGCAAGUCGUUGGAUUGAACGCGGCACUGUAUCCGUAAAACUGCAUGAGCUUGGGCGGCAAUAGCCAACACCAACUAUACGACCUUCUUCAGACUUGUUUUGUAUUCUGUAAACAGCCCGUUUUAUUAAUUUACAGUAAUAACACGCAGUUGAAUGUUACUGAUGUAAUGAAAACAUAAACGCAAUAUAGAAAUUCAUUUUUUAAAGUAAUUGAUUCCAAUUAUUUUGUGCUCUUCUUUCAGUAUUUGUUGUAAAGUGAAUAUAUGUUUCGAAACAUCUUUGAAAAACGUCCGAGAAAAAAGUUUGACUUACGGUCAUAGCAGAAUAAUCUAUUGAUUUUUUGAGUUAUAAAAAUUGAAAAUUAAUUUGCGAAUUUCUUGUGUGCAUUUGCAAGAAGCAAAACUGUAGAAGUCCCCUUCUUUGACGAAAAAACAACAAAGAAAUUAAACCCACCUUGAUUAUUAUUUAGCUAUUAUAGUCAUAAAAACGACUCGCAAAGCAAAGACCCUGUAAUUUUCAAUUCUUUGAUUUUGCACGCAGCCCCUUCCAAUCGAGUUGGGUCUGUAUCAGCUAGCGCGCACAAAACAUAAUUUCCUUUACUGUUUGUUUGGGCUACACUAGAAACGCGUUAAGCCUGACAUUGCAGUGAGAAUAUAAUCUACCGGUACAGGCCUACACGACUCCGUAGCCAUCAUUAUUUGCUACAUAUUUUCUUGUUUAAAAAGCCAGCGCCUUCCUUUCAUAAAAUAACCAAGAGUUUUGCGUUUUCAUGGUAAGUUUGCCCUAUAUCCGGUCGUUUACAACUUCCCAUCUUUCUCUAACCCCCUUCUAAAAAAACUAUAAUAAAGGAAAGGCAAAGCGAUCUAGUCAUCCUCUUUCAUUAAUGAAUUAUGAAAAUAGAAUAAAAAUUAAAUGCAAAUCACAACAAGUAUUAUCACCAGGCGUAAAAGAGAUAUGAAAAUAUUAUAUAAAA